Molecule: ribosomal RNA, 302 nt
Filed under: uncultured bacterium
Lineage: Bacteria
Description: partial 16S ribosomal RNA
Rfam family: Bacterial small subunit ribosomal RNA
Source: RNAcentral
GCAGUAGCCGCGGGAAUACGAAGGGUGCAAGCGUUAAUCGGAAUUACUGGGCGUAAAGCGCGCGUAGGUGGUUUGGUAAGAUGGAUGUGAAAUCCCCGGGCUCAACCUGGGAACUGCAUCCAUAACUGCCUGACUAGAGUACGGUAGAGGGUGGUGGAAUUUCCUGUGUAGCGGUGAAAUGCGUAGAUAUAGGAAGGAACACCAGUGGCGAAGGCGACCACCUGGACUGAUACUGACACUGAGGUGCGAAAGCGUGGGGAGCAAACAGGAUUAGAUACCCCAGUAGUCCCUGUCUCUUAUAA